RNAcentral lists this small RNA (930 nucleotides) under Pan troglodytes (chimpanzee). RNAcentral's name for it is "processed transcript". Lineage: Eukaryota; Metazoa; Chordata; Mammalia; Primates; Hominidae. The record is from RNAcentral.
UUGGCCUUGGCUAAUAGGUUUACUUCCUUGGCUCACUGCUUUAAAAUCUUCUUAGGUUAGGCAUGCCUGUUUAUUUGUUCAGUGUGUGAACUUUGGAUCUUUUUGUUCAGGAUCAGCUAUUUCACACAUUGAGUACUACAAAGCAGAGAUUACAUAAAUAACGUAUAUAAAUUGUUCUCUAUGACAACCCCCAAGUAGGUGCUAACAUGAUUAUUAUAAUGCAUUUGUUAUCCUUUUCUAUUUGCUCCUAGGUUUUUAGAACUUCAGCCAUAAAAAUGGGCAGAAUUUUCCUUGAUCAUAUCGGUGGUACCCGUCUGUUUUCUUGUGCAAACUGUGAUACGAUCCUGACCAACCGCUCAGAACUCAUCUCCACUCGUUUCACAGGCGCCACUGGCAGAGCAUUUCUUUUUAACAAGGUAGUUAACCUGCAGUACAGUGAAGUUCAAGAUCGGGUCAUGCUCACUGGCCGCCACAUGGUUCGAGAUGUGAGCUGCAAAAACUGCAAUAGCAAACUGGGAUGGAUCUAUGAGUUUGCCACUGAAGACAGCCAGCGAUAUAAGGAAGGCCGCGUGAUCCUGGAACGUGCUCUAGUUCGAGAGAGUGAGGGCUUUGAGGAGCAUGUACCAUCUGAUAACUCUUGAAGAUACAGAGAGAAAUCCAUCUUUUCCCAGGUCUCCUUCACUGAAAACAAAAAUCUACUUACAUACACUGUCACCUUAGCAUCAGAGUCGGAUUAAUGAACUGCGGAACAAGAGGUUGUGAGAAUCUAAGAUGGAACCUUUCUUUUUUUUUUUUUUUUAAUUUUGUAUUUUCCAUCCAACAGCAGUGUGUAGAGAGAAUAUUAUGCAGAUGCCGUUAAUUUUUUACCCUAUGUUUACAUCUUGAGGCAGAAGAGUCUGUCUGCAGCUAUGUGGUGAGCUAUGUAAGGAA